This 2407-nucleotide long non-coding RNA is filed under the name Zea mays. RNAcentral describes it as "long non-coding RNA (ZMAY_LNC004338)". The record is from RNAcentral. Lineage: Eukaryota; Viridiplantae; Streptophyta; Magnoliopsida; Poales; Poaceae.
CGUUGAUUUGGUGACAGGAGGAGACCUCGGUGGCAGCCGGUUGACGGAAUGGCGGGGCGGGGGCGGCGCUGCGGUGGGGGAGGCGAGGCGGCUCUGGCGCGGCGGCGGUGGCCGAGCCAGAGGCAGGGGCGGAGUGGCGCGGCGACUGAGCCAGGGGCAGGGGCGGCGUGGCGCGGCGCGUUGGGGCGGAGGCGGAGGCGGGGGCGGCGCGUUCGGGCCGGCGCUGGGCUGAAAAUUUCGUUAGGAAGAUAUAACACUCAAAAUCACAUUUUGAUGAUUUAAAGCAUUCUCCAAAAGAUUUAAGAUAAAAUGUCAUUUAAUAGUGAUUUUAAUUCUUUAUAAAGUGUAUUCCCUAAAGCAAAUAAAUAGUACUAUUAAAAGUUGUGUAGUUCAAAACUUAGAUUUAAAUCUUGAAACGAAAGUGUAAGUUGAAAUUAAUAAUUAGAAGAAAGAUUUUUUUAUUAUCUCCUAUGUAAACUAUAUCACUCUUGAAAAAGUAUUUUUAAGUAAAAUGAUUCCUAGUAAAGAUUGUAUUUUACUUUCCCUAAAUAAGUGAAAUAAAGGAUACUCAUUUUUAUUAACUUAAAAUUUGAUCACAUACUCAAAAGUAAUAUUUUUCCUAAAAUGAAGUGAAUGUGUGCAUGGCACAUUUUGAGCCUUUAACUAAACAAGGAAAUAAAUAAUUAAUAUAAAUAUAUAUAUGUUUAUAAAAAUAUAUUUUCCAUUCAUGCAUAUAUUUUGGAUGUUGCAUUUAGAAUAGAAUUUGAAACCCAUAUUUGAAUUUGAAGUUAAAAUGUGGAAAUUAAAAUAGAAAAGAAAAAGAAAAGAAAAGUAGUUUUUGGGUCAGAUUUACAUGACCUCGGCCUAACUUGGCGAACUGCGCAAGCCCACUCGCGCACUGGUCGAGGGCCUUUUUGGUGCCGGCAGGUGGGCCCGCCUGUCAGGCCCUCAUCGGGGAAACGUUGCUGCGCGGAGUCGCUGCGGAACGGUCGUCAGCUGCUCUGGCUCAAUUACCCGCUCCGCACCGCACCCGUCUCCGACUGGCCGGUGGACCCACUCGGUGCACCUCCUUUCCCCACCCCAACAACACACGCGGGAUUGUCGCCGCCGUCAUCGAAGAUCGCUAACGGCCGCUCCCCAACCGAAACUCGGGAGAUAAAUUGGUGGUCGGCGACCUCUUUCCCUCUGUUUCCUCUCCUCCUUUCACCGCACACGGUUCUCGAGCCCGACCAAAACGGUUGUGGGGAGCAGAGAACAUGGGUUGGGCGAGGGGUGUCACCAUUGUCGACCUCGGGUGUUAACCAUCCUCGAACCAUCGAUUCGCGUGGAGGGGCGAGUACCGACAUCCGUCUCGCAUUUCCCCGCUAUCAUCCGAGCAUUAAGGGUGACCGUAGGGCAAUAAAUUGCUCACCGGCGUCGUGAAUUCGGCAGAGCACCGCCGUGCGUCGUGGGCAUGAACUCCUGGAGCCUAAUCACCGGUAAGACCUUGCCCCGUGGACUCGCCCCAACCCCCGCUACGCGUAGCACCAUAGGGAUCAGGUUCGUUGUGUAGGUUACGAGAUCCGGGAAUGGUGGCAAUGGCGCCGCCGUGGUUUGCCCAGGCUUUGCCGCUGGCGUGAUCCCGUGAGGAAGAAAGCGCCUGGACCGUCCAUCUAUUGCUCGACGGCUAGAUUUAGACCUAAGUGUACCCUUUCGCUGCGUGUGAUCCAUGCCAUCGAUUCAUCCGCGGGCGGCUACGAUUAGAUCCUGCCAUCAUCGAUUCUGGAUCGUGGGAUCGAAAUGGGCGGAUCAGAUUAGAUGUUCGCGUACCCCUUCAGCUUUCUAAUCUCAGCCCUGAAUUCGGGAUCGGGAGGCUCGGAUGAAAUCUAGCUCUCGGUCGCAGGGAUAUUUGUUAAAGAACCCUUGGAUGUUUCCGAAAAUAACCCGCCAUCCCUGUCUGGUUGAAUACAAUUACGGUUAGAUCCUCGGAUUUUACAAAACAGCCCUUGAUGUUAUAAAAUAUUUCUGGAAAUUGUUUUUGCUGUAAAAAUAAAUCUAGAACCUUAGAAAAUCCAUAUCUCCUUCGUCUUAACUUCUUUUUGAUCCAUUCCAGUUGCAUUAAUCUCAUAUUAAAAUUGUUUAUCAUCUAAUGACAAUAUUUAGUCAUGAAACAUAGAUUAAAAUUAUGCAGUUAGUUUAUUAUAUAUUGAACACCUAAAUUUUCAGAAAAUCAUAACUCUUUAACCGUAAUUCCGAUUUUAGUGUUUCUCGAACCUGCGAUCUUGUUACGACGCGUAGAAUAUUAUUAUGCAGUUUGUGCUUAUGUUUGGUGUGAUGUUAAUUUUGUCUAUAUCAUGUUUGUUUGUAUUGCUACGAAUAGAAGUGAAGUCACGAGAAUCUAAAGAUCAUCUUGGUACCUGGAAUCUCG